This 675-nucleotide ribosomal RNA is filed under the name Pediococcus pentosaceus. RNAcentral's name for it is "bacterial SSU rRNA". It matches the Rfam family "Bacterial small subunit ribosomal RNA", at positions 88 to 750 of the family's 1533-position model. Lineage: Bacteria; Bacillati; Bacillota; Bacilli; Lactobacillales; Lactobacillaceae. The record is from RNAcentral.
GAAGUGAGUGGCGAACGGGUGAGUAACACGUGGGUAACCUGCCCAGAAGUAGGGGAUAACACCUGGAAACAGAUGCUAAUACCGUAUAACAGAGAAAACCGCAUGGUUUUCUUUUAAAAGAUGGCUCUGCUAUCACUUCUGGAUGGACCCGCGGCGUAUUAGCUAGUUGGUGAGGUAAAGGCUCACCAAGGCAGUGAUACGUAGCCGACCUGAGAGGGUAAUCGGCCACAUUGGGACUGAGACACGGCCCAGACUCCUACGGGAGGCAGCAGUAGGGAAUCUUCCACAAUGGACGCAAGUCUGAUGGAGCAACGCCGCGUGAGUGAAGAAGGGUUUCGGCUCGUAAAGCUCUGUUGUUAAAGAAGAACGUGGGUAAGAGUAACUGUUUACCCAGUGACGGUAUUUAACCAGAAAGCCACGGCUAACUACGUGCCAGCAGCCGCGGUAAUACGUAGGUGGCAAGCGUUAUCCGGAUUUAUUGGGCGUAAAGCGAGCGCAGGCGGUCUUUUAAGUCUAAUGUGAAAGCCUUCGGCUCAACCGAAGAAGUGCAUUGGAAACUGGGAGACUUGAGUGCAGAAGAGGACAGUGGAACUCCAUGUGUAGCGGUGAAAUGCGUAGAUAUAUGGAAGAACACCAGUGGCGAAGGCGGCUGUCUGGUCUGCAACUGACGCUGAG